RNAcentral lists this ribosomal RNA (465 nucleotides) under Vreelandella stevensii. Its description in RNAcentral is "partial 16S ribosomal RNA". It matches the Rfam family "Bacterial small subunit ribosomal RNA", at positions 338 to 795 of the family's 1533-position model. Lineage: Bacteria; Pseudomonadati; Pseudomonadota; Gammaproteobacteria; Oceanospirillales; Halomonadaceae. The record is from RNAcentral.
CCUACGGGGGGCUGCAGUGGGGAAUAUUGGACAAUGGGGGGAACCCUGAUCCAGCCAUGCCGCGUGUGUGAAGAAGGCCCUCGGGUUGUAAAGCACUUUCAGUGAGGAAGAACGCCUGGUGGUUAAUACCCAUCAGGAAAGACAUCACUCACAGAAGAAGCACCGGCUAACUCCGUGCCAGCAGCCGCGGUAAUACGGAGGGUGCGAGCGUUAAUCGGAAUUACUGGGCGUAAAGCGCGCGUAGGUGGCUUGAUAAGCCGGUUGUGAAAGCCCCGGGCUCAACCUGGGAACGGCAUCCGGAACUGUCAAGCUAGAGUGCAGGAGAGGAAGGUAGAAUUCCCGGUGUAGCGGUGAAAUGCGUAGAGAUCGGGAGGAAUACCAGCGGCGAAGGCGGCCUUCUGGACUGACACUGACACUGAGGUGCGAAAGCGUGGGUAGCAAACAGGAUUAGAUACCCCGGUAGUC